This 72-nucleotide transfer RNA is filed under the name Sarcophilus harrisii (Tasmanian devil). It matches the Rfam family "tRNA". From Rfam's summary of the family: Transfer RNA (tRNA) molecules are approximately 80 nucleotides in length. Their secondary structure includes four short double-helical elements and three loops (D, anti-codon, and T loops). Lineage: Eukaryota; Metazoa; Chordata; Mammalia; Dasyuromorphia; Dasyuridae. The record is from Rfam by way of RNAcentral.
GCCCGGCUAGCUCAGUCAAUAGAGUAUGAGACUCUUGAUCUCAGGGUCUGAGUUUGAGCCCCAUGUUGGGCA